RNAcentral lists this ribosomal RNA (253 nucleotides) under uncultured bacterium. RNAcentral's name for it is "partial 16S ribosomal RNA". It matches the Rfam family "Bacterial small subunit ribosomal RNA", at positions 524 to 776 of the family's 1533-position model. The record is from RNAcentral.
UACGAAGGGGGCGAGUGUCGUUCGGAAUUACUGGGCGUAAAGGGCGCGUAGGCGGCCUGCUAAGUCGAACGUGAAAUCCCUGGGCUCAACCCAGGAACUGCGUCCGAUACUGGUUGGCUUGAAUCCGGGAGAGGGACGUGGAAUUCCAGGUGUAGCGGUGAAAUGCGUAGAUAUCUGGAGGAACACCGGUGGCGAAGGCGACGUCCUGGACCGGCAUUGACGCUGAGGCGCGAAAGCCAGGGGAGCAAACGGG